GACGAACGCUGGCGGCGUGCCUAAUACAUGCAAGUCGAACGAACGGAUUGAGGAGCUUGCUCUUCAUGAAGUUAGUGGCGGACGGGUGAGUAACACGUGGGUAACCUGCCCUUCAGUGGGGGAUAACAUCCGGAAACGGGUGCUAAUACCGCAUAGUUUCUUUUUCCGCCUGGAAGAAGAAGGAAAGAUGGCCUUUGCGCUAUCACUGAGGGAUGGACCCGCGGCGUAUUAGUUAGUUGGUGGGGUAAUGGCCUACCAAGACGAUGAUACGUAGCCGACCUGAGAGGGUGAUCGGCCACACUGGAACUGAGACACGGUCCAG
This 322-nucleotide ribosomal RNA is filed under the name uncultured bacterium. RNAcentral's name for it is "bacterial SSU rRNA". It matches the Rfam family "Bacterial small subunit ribosomal RNA", at positions 28 to 334 of the family's 1533-position model. The record is from RNAcentral.